UCUGGUGAUCCCUGCCGGACCCGACUGCUAUCAGAGUGGGACUAAGCCAUGCGAGUUGACGUAGUAAUACGUAGCGAACGGCUCAGUAACACGUAGUCAACAUGCCCAGGGGACGUGGAUAACCUCGGGAAACUGAGAAUAAACCGCGAUAGGUCACAAUUUCUGGAAUGGAUUUUGGCUUAAAUCUACAUGGCCCCUGGAUUGGACUGCGGCCGAUCAGGCUGUUGGUGAGGUAAUGGCCCACCAAACCUGUAACCGGUACGGGCUCUGAGAGGAGGAGCCCGGAGAUGGGCACUGAGACAAGGGCCCAGGCCCUAUGGGGCGCAGCAGGCGCGAAACCUCUGCAAUGGGCGAAAGCCUGACAGGGUUACUCUGAGUGAUUUCCGCUAAGGAGAUCUUUUGGCAGCUCUAAAAAUGGUGCAGAAUAAGGGGUGGGCAAGUCUGGUGUCAGCCGCCGCGGUAAUACCAGCACCCCGAGUGGUCGGGACGAUUAUUGGGCCUAAAGCAUCCGUAGCCGGUUGUGCAAGUCCUCCGUUAAAUCCAGCCGCUCAACGGAUGGGCUGCGGAGGAUACUACAGGACUAGGAGGCGGGAGAGGCAAGCGGUACUUAGUGGGUAGGGGUAAAAUCCUUUGAUCCAUUGAAGACCACCAGUGGCGAAGGCGGCUUGCCAGAACGCGCUCGACGGUGAGGGAUGAAAGCUGGGGGAGCAAACCGGAUUAGAUACCCGGGUAGUCCCAGCUGUAAACGAUGCAGACUCGGUGAUGGGCUAGCCUCGUGUCAGCCCAGUGCCGCAGGGAAGCCGUUAAGUCUGCCGCCUGGGGAGUACGGUCGCAAGACUGAAACUUAAAGGAAUUGGCGGGGGAGCACCACAAGGGGUGAAGCCUGCGGUUUCAUUGGAGUNCACGCCGGGGACUCUAGAG
RNAcentral lists this ribosomal RNA (921 nucleotides) under uncultured archaeon. Its description in RNAcentral is "bacterial SSU rRNA". It matches the Rfam family "Archaeal small subunit ribosomal RNA", at positions 1 to 932 of the family's 1478-position model. The record is from RNAcentral.